CCUACGGGAGGCUGCAGUGGGGAAUAUUGGUCAAUGGCCGGAAGGCUGAACCAGCCAUGCCGCGUGAAGGUCAGUGCCCUAUGGGCGUUAAACUUCUUUUGUGCGGGAGCAAUAAUGGUCACGUGUGGCCAGACGAGAGUACCGUACGAAUAAGCAUCGGCUAACUCCGUGCCAGCAGCCGCGGUAAUACGGGGGAUGCAAGCGUUAUCCGGAUUUAUUGGGUUUAAAGGGUGCGUAGGCUGUGAGGUAAGUCAGCGGUGAAAUGCCCCCGCUCAACGGGGUGAAGUGCCAUUGAUACUGCCUGGCUGGAAUGCGGAUGCCGGGGGAGGAAUGUGUGGUGUAGCGGUGAAAUGCAUAGAUAUCACACAGAACACCGAUUGCGAAGGCAUCUCACGAAUCCGCGAUUGACGCUGAUGCACGAAAGCGUGGGUAUCAAACAGGAUUAGAUACCCCAGUAGUC
RNAcentral lists this ribosomal RNA (460 nucleotides) under uncultured bacterium. Its description in RNAcentral is "partial 16S ribosomal RNA". It matches the Rfam family "Bacterial small subunit ribosomal RNA", at positions 338 to 795 of the family's 1533-position model. The record is from RNAcentral.